Molecule: long non-coding RNA, 229 nt
Organism: Dryobates pubescens (Downy woodpecker)
Lineage: Eukaryota; Metazoa; Chordata; Aves; Piciformes; Picidae
Exons: 3
Source: RefSeq, a predicted model, not a curated record
GCCGCGGCUCCCCGCUCCCGGGACGAUGUGCCUACUUCGUGCAAAGGAAGAACCGCUUCUGCAAGAUGAUCCCGGCUCCCGGGAGGCGGUUUUGUGGAGAGCAUGGGCAGCAGGAGAAAGAAAACGACAGAAAAAGAAUUCCCUGCCCUCUUGAUCCCAAACACACUGUGUAUGAGGACCAGCUGCAGAAGCAUUUAAAAAAAUGUAAUUCAAGAGAGAAGCCAAAACC